UAGUCAUAUGCUUGUCUCAAAGAUUAAGCCAUGCAUGUCUAAGUACUUACCGCCUUAAGGUGAAACCGCGAAUGGCUCAUUAAAUCAGUUACGGUUCCUUUGAUAUUGAGUAUCUACAUGGAUAACUGUGGUAAUUCUAGAGCUAAUACGUGCACAAAAGCUUUGACCCGUAAGGGAAAAAGCGCAUUUAUUAGACCAAGACCAAUGGGACCCUCACGGGUUCCUAGUCAAUGGUGACUCUGGAUAACUGAGCUAAUCGCAUGGCCACUGCGCCGGCGAUGAGUCUUUCAAGUGUCUGCCUUAUCAACUGUCGAUGGUAGGUUAUGCGCCUACCAUGGUUGUAACGGGUAACGGGGAAUCAGGGUUCGAUUCCGGAGAGGGAGCCUGAGAAACGGCUACCACAUCCAAGGAAGGCAGCAGGCACGCAAAUUACCCACUCCCGGCACGGGGAGGUAGUGACGAAAAAUAACAAUACGGGACUCUUUUGAGGCCCCGUAAUUGGAAUGAGUACAAUCUAAAUCCUUUAACGAGGAUCAAUUGGAGGGCAAGUCUGGUGCCAGCAGCCGCGGUAAUUCCAGCUCCAAUAGCGUAUAUUAAAGUUGUUGCGGUUAAAAAGCUCGUAGUUGGAUCUCAGUUCAUGCUUUGUGGUCCACCUUUCGGUGGUUACUACUUAGCUGAGCAUUUUAUAGACUGUCUCUUGAUUCUCUUAACCGAGUGUCAUGAGCGAUCUGUACGUUUACUUUGAACAAAUUUGAGUGCUCAAAGCAGGCAUUUACCGCCCGAAAAAUCAUGCAUGGAAUAAUGAAAUAGGACCUUGGUUCUAUUUUGUUGGUCUUCGGAAUCCGAGGUAAUGAUUAAGAGGGACAGACGGGGGCAUUCGUAUUGCGGCGCUAGAGGUGAAAUUCUUGGACCGUCGCAAGACGAACUACAGCGAAAGCAUUUGCCAAGAAUGUUUUCAUUAAUCAAGAACGAAAGUUAGAGGUUCGAAGGCGAUCAGAUACCGCCCUAGUUCUAACCAUAAACGAUGUCAACCAGCGAUCAGCCUGAGUUCUUUAAAUGACUCGGCUGGAAGCUUCCGGGAAACCAAAGUUUUUCGGUUCCGGGGGAAGUAUGGUUGCAAAGCUGAAACUUAAAGGAAUUGACGGAAGGGCACCACCAGGAGUGGAGCCUGCGGCUUAAUUUGACUCAACACGGGAAAACUUACCCGGCCCGGACACUGGGAGGAUUGACAGAUUGAGAGCUCUUUCUUGAUUCAGUGGGUGGUGGUGCAUGGCCGUUCUUAGUUGGUGGAGCGAUUUGUCUGGUUAAUUCCGAUAACGAACGAGACUCUAGCCUGCUAAAUAGACUGUUAACUCACAUUGUUGCGUUAACAGGACUUCUUAGAGGGACAGGCGGCGACUCAGCCGCACGAAACAGAGCAAUAACAGGUCUGUGAUGCCCUUAGAUGUCCGGGGCCGCACGCGCGCUACACUGAAGUGAGCAGCGUGCUUAAUAAACCCGCUUUGACAGGAGUGGGUAACCCAAUUAACUUUCUUCGUGAUUGGGAUCGGGCAUUGUAAUUAUUGCCCGUGAACGAGGAAUUCCCAGUAAGCGUGAGUCAUCAGCUCGCGUUGAUUACGUCCCUGCCCUUUGUACACACCGCCCGUCGCUACUACCGAUUGAAUGAUUUAGUGAGGUCUUCGGAUCGGUCGACGAAGCUACUUUCGGGUGGCAUCGUUGUGCUGAGAAGAUGCCCAAACUUGAUCAUUUAGAGGAAGUAAAAGUCGUAACAAGGUUUCC
RNAcentral lists this ribosomal RNA (1779 nucleotides) under Abrolophus sp. SKPG004. RNAcentral's name for it is "SSU rRNA". It matches the Rfam family "Eukaryotic small subunit ribosomal RNA". Lineage: Eukaryota; Metazoa; Arthropoda; Arachnida; Trombidiformes; Erythraeidae. The record is from RNAcentral.